Molecule: ribosomal RNA, 465 nt
Filed under: Vreelandella stevensii
Lineage: Bacteria; Pseudomonadati; Pseudomonadota; Gammaproteobacteria; Oceanospirillales; Halomonadaceae
Description: partial 16S ribosomal RNA
Rfam family: Bacterial small subunit ribosomal RNA
Source: RNAcentral
CCUACGGGCUGCAGCAGUGGGGAAUAUUGGACAAUGGGCGAAAGCCUGAUCCAGCCAUGCCGCGUGUGUGAAGAAGGCCUUCGGGUUGUAAAGCACUUUCAGUGGGGAAGAAAGCCUUGGGGCUAAUACCCUCGAGGAAGGACAUCACCCACAGAAGAAGCACCGGCUAACUCCGUGCCAGCAGCCGCGGUAAUACGGAGGGUGCGAGCGUUAAUCGGAAUUACUGGGCGUAAAGCGCGCGUAGGCGGUCUGAUAAGCCGGUUGUGAAAGCCCCGGGCUCAACCUGGGAACGGCAUCCGGAACUGUCAGGCUAGAGUGCAGGAGAGGAAGGUAGAAUUCCCGGUGUAGCGGUGAAAUGCGUAGAGAUCGGGAGGAAUACCAGUGGCGAAGGCGGCCUUCUGGACUGACACUGACGCUGAGGUGCGAAAGCGUGGGUAGCAAACAGGAUUAGAUACCCCAGUAGUC